UACGGAGGGGGCUAGCGUUGUUCGGAAUUACUGGGCGUAAAGCGUACGUAGGCGGCUUUGUAAGUUAGAGGUGAAAGCCCGGGGCUCAACCCCGGAAUUGCCUUUAAGACUGCAUCGCUUGAAUCGCGGAGAGGUGAGUGGAAUUCCGAGUGUAGAGGUGAAAUUCGUAGAUAUUCGGCAGAACACCAGUGGCGAAGGCAGCUCUCUGGACGAGUAUUGACGCUGAGGUGCGAAAGCGUGGGGAGCAAACAGG
This 253-nucleotide ribosomal RNA is filed under the name uncultured bacterium. RNAcentral describes it as "partial 16S ribosomal RNA". It matches the Rfam family "Bacterial small subunit ribosomal RNA", at positions 524 to 776 of the family's 1533-position model. The record is from RNAcentral.